This 490-nucleotide ribosomal RNA is filed under the name uncultured bacterium. RNAcentral describes it as "partial 16S ribosomal RNA". It matches the Rfam family "Bacterial small subunit ribosomal RNA", at positions 30 to 507 of the family's 1533-position model. The record is from RNAcentral.
AUUGAACGCUGGCGGCAGGCCUAACACAUGCAAGUCGAACGGUAACAGAAAGCAUCUUGCUGCUUUGCUUACGAGUGUCGGACGUGUGAGUAAUGUCUGUGAAACUGCCUGAUGGAGGGGGUUAACUACUGGAAACGGUAGCUAAUACCUCAUAACGUCGCAAGACCAAAGAGGGGGACCUUCGGGCCUCUUGCCUUCGGAUUUUCCCAGAUUGGAUUAGCUAGUUGGUUGGGUAACGGCUCACCUAGGCGACGAUCCCUAGAUGGUCUGAGAGGAUGACCAGCCAAACGGGAAGUGAGACACGGACCAGACUCCUACGGGAGGCAGCAGUGGGGAAUAUUGCACAAUGGGGGCAAGCAUGAUGCAGCCAUGCCGCGUGUAUGAAGAAGGCCUUCGGGUUGUAAAGUACUUUCAGCGGGGAGGAAGGGAGUAAAGUUAAUACCUUUGCUCAUUGACGUUACCCGCAGAAGAAGCACCGGCUAACUCCGUG